GGCCACGCCAUACCACCCUGAAUGCGCCCGAUCUCGUCUGAUCUCGGAAGCUAACAGGGUAGGCCUGGUUAGUACUUGGAUGGGAGACCGCCUAGGAAUACCAGGUGUUGUAAGCU
Molecule: ribosomal RNA, 116 nt
Filed under: Larimichthys crocea (large yellow croaker)
Lineage: Eukaryota; Metazoa; Chordata; Actinopteri; Sciaenidae
Source: RNAcentral